AGCAGCAGCAACAACUACAGUACCAGCUGCAACAACCAUAGCAGCACCUUCAACAACUGCAGCAGCAGCAACUACAGUACCAGCUGAAACAACUACAGCAGCAUCCGCAACAACUACAGUGGUAGCCACAACAACUACAGCCAACCCAACAACAACUGCAGUGGCAGCGACCACCACAGCAUGCCCCAGCCACAACUACAGCAGCUCUAACAACUACAGCUGCACCCGCAGCAACUACAGUAGCAGCCGCUACAACUACAGUAGCAGCUGCUACAACUACAGUGGUAGCCGCAACAACUACGGUACCAGCCGCAACAACUACAGUAAACCCGACAACAACAGCAGCAACCACAACAACUGCAGGAGCAGCAGCCACCACAGAUGCCCCAGCCACAACUACAGCAGCUCUAACAACUACAGCUGCACCUGCAACAACUACAGUAGCAGCCGCAACAACUACAUUGGUAGCCACACCAACUACAGCUGCAAUAACUACAGUAGCAGCAGCAACAGCUGCAGCAGCAGCAACCACCACAAAUGCCCCAGCCACAACUACAGCAGCUCUAACAACUACAGCUGCACCCGCAGCAACUACAGUAGCAGCCGCUACAACUACAGUAGCAGCUGCUACAACUACAGUGGUAGCCGCAACAACUACGGUACCAGCCGCCUCAACUACAGUAAACCCGACAACAACAGCAGCAACCACAACAAUUGCAGGAGCAGCAGCCACCACAGAUGCCCCAGCCACAACUACAGCAGCUCUAACAAAUACAGCUGCACCUGCAACAACUACAGUAACAACCUCAACAGUAGCAGCCGCAACAACUACAGUGGUAGCCACAACAACUACAGUACCAGCUGCAACAACUACAGUAGCACCGUCAACAACCACGAACACCCCACAAAUAACCACAGCACCUACAACAACAUCAUCCGCAACAAUGACAAUUGCUGCUGCAACAACACCAACCGCACCGGCAACAACAGCCAACCCAACAACAAUAUCAGCAGCCGCAAUGACAACAGCAGCUCCGUCUACAUUUGCAACAACAACCACCACCACAGCUUCCUCUGCAGUCAUCAACAGGACAAGUUUCUAUUUAGUUGUUGCAGUUGUUACAGCAGUUCUGUGGAAUUAUUAAGUGGACUGGAACAAGAGACUAAGAAGAACCCACAUUUACAUGUUGUACACAUAGUGAGUUAUUUACGAACUUGAUGGAUUGUAAGGAACGUAAUUUAUUAUCCUUAUUGUAACUUAUUAACCUGUUAUUUAUUUCAUAUAUUUAUAAUGUUAUGAUAUUUUAACUAUCACUUUUGUUCUUUUCUCAAAGCUAUUGUAUGACCCUGGUGAUAAUCUGUAACUAUUUGGGAUUGAAGUACACUGAGAAGCUCUGUGUUUAUUCUGCUGACAUAACAUGAGCAUAAAUAUAACUGUUUUUACAAAUGCACCUGGUAAUAACAUGAAAGACUCUCAAAGGUUGUACGUAGUUUGUGUUUUAUGGCACUACUUUUUAAUUGUUUAUCGAGUCUGCUUACUGCUGGUCUACUCAUUUGUACUCAUUUAGAUAUUGAUGUAAUAUGUCAUGUGAAGUAUCCGAAACAAUAAAAGGGAAACAGAGUGACUUAUGGU
Long non-coding RNA from Gasterosteus aculeatus aculeatus (three-spined stickleback), 1633 nucleotides. The record is from Ensembl. NCBI's taxonomy places the organism in Eukaryota, Metazoa, Chordata, Actinopteri, Perciformes, Gasterosteidae.